UAAAACUCACGAGAAUCACUGCCCAUAUUCACGAUGAUUAACUGUAUUUUGUACAGUACAGCCAGCUGUAUGUUAGGUAACCAAAAUUUAAUACCUACAUAAAUAUCGAUUUACCAUUAACUACCAUUAUAAUGUUGUGUAUAGUUGUCCCUAAUAACAUCAUCAGACUGAUGCAGGUCACAAAAAGCAUCACUAUGGUAUGUAACUAUAUAGACGAAAAGUAUCAUUUUGAUUAAUCUUAAACGGGAUAUUAACUAUUAUAAAAGACAAAAGUAUUUACAAAGAUAAAUAAAACUAAUUUUUUUCUUUAAUGGUUUUGGUCGUUAAACGAUAAUAUUAUGUAAAACAAGAUCAGUUUUAUUUUAUUAUAAAUAUUAUAGUAUAAGAUUAUAAUAUAUUCAUCAAAAAAUGAUAUUAUUCGUGGGACCGGAGAUAUAACGGUGCUGGUUUUAUGAGUGAUACUCUGCAAAUCCGGAAAUUUAGAUCAAUAAUUUAAGAAUUCUACGGUAGUUUAAUUUUAAACUCAGCAAAUCAUUUCUCGCCCGCCCCUGAAUCUUAGAUAUAAUCCAAAAGCGACCGCUUUUCAAAGACCGCGUUCGUUUCACCACUGG
Non-coding RNA from Cinara cedri, 611 nucleotides. The record is from the annotation of a GenBank genome assembly. Lineage: Eukaryota; Metazoa; Arthropoda; Insecta; Hemiptera; Aphididae.